This is a long non-coding RNA of Triticum dicoccoides, 657 nucleotides long. RefSeq lists it as uncharacterized. The record is from RefSeq and is a predicted model, not a curated record. NCBI's taxonomy places the organism in Eukaryota, Viridiplantae, Streptophyta, Magnoliopsida, Poales, Poaceae. The transcript is spliced from 4 exons.
UUUGUCAACUAGAAGGCGCUCGACAUCGAGACCGUCCAGCAGUCUGUACACGGUGGGAUGAUAUGGGCUUACAUGACUGCCUCCUCAGCUACAACUACUUGGGUAAUUUAGCUUAUUCUCUGAGGUAGCCUAAUCUUCUACAACCUCGGCAGUGGUGGCCACCUCUUCUUGGUUCAGAAACUGGUUGCCCAAAGCUAUUUCUUACUCGUUGACGUACUGAGAUAAACAUUGGUGGAUUCUAGGUGCACGCUCGUGUCUCAGACUCCACAGGGCACCAAGGUUGUUUUCCCUAUAAAAGAAUGCCGCCAAGGUCUCCUUGUUGGUCUUUUUAUAGCGAGUCACUGAAUAUAAGUUCCUGUGUUUUGUUAUCAUUUCGUGUUUCAAGAACCACAUAUUGUAAAAUAGAUUAAUAAACUAUUUUCUACUUCUUGAGGUUUGUUAUUAUUUUUUGUUUAUGUAUUGUUAAACCAGUGGGCGAAACUAGAAGUCAAACGGUCAUUUCACAUCAUGAAGCCUUUUGGCCCUACUCCCUUCUGGAUACUUUAAUAUUUUUAGGAGGGUAGCCGGAUCCUGGUAGUUCACUACCAUUCAAGUUUUAGUUGUGUUAAGAUGAAUAUUUCGAAACUAGGACAUCACUUGUAGACAACUGAGUCGAAA